RNAcentral lists this ribosomal RNA (402 nucleotides) under uncultured bacterium. RNAcentral describes it as "bacterial SSU rRNA". It matches the Rfam family "Bacterial small subunit ribosomal RNA", at positions 355 to 774 of the family's 1533-position model. The record is from RNAcentral.
UGGGGAAUUUUGCGCAAUGGGGGAAACCCUGACGCAGCAACGCCGCGUGGAGGAUGAAGUAUCUUGGUACGUAAACUCCUUUCGAUGGGGAAGAUAAUGACGGUACCCAUAGAAGAAGCCCCGGCUAACUUCGUGCCAGCAGCCGCGGUAAUACGAGGGGGGCAAGCGUUGUUCGGAUUUAUUGGGCGUAAAGGGUGCGUAGGCGGUUUGGCAAGUCUUGUGUGAAAUCUUCGGGCUCAACCCGAAGCCUGCACGAGAAACUACCGGGCUUGAGUAUUGGAGAGGUGAGUGGAAUUUCCGGUGUAGCGGUGAAAUGCGUAGAUAUCGGAAGGAACACCUGUGGCGAAAGCGGCUCACUGGACAAUAACUGACGCUGAUGCACGAAAGCUAGGGGAGCAAACA